RNAcentral lists this ribosomal RNA (253 nucleotides) under uncultured bacterium. Its description in RNAcentral is "partial 16S ribosomal RNA". It matches the Rfam family "Bacterial small subunit ribosomal RNA", at positions 524 to 776 of the family's 1533-position model. The record is from RNAcentral.
UACGUAGGGGGCAAGCGUUGUCCGGAAUCAUUGGGCGUAAAGAGCGCGUAGGCGGCCCGAUAAGUCCGCUGUGAAAGUCAAGGGCUCAACCCUUGAAUGCCGGUGGAUACUGUCGGGCUAGAGUCCGGAAGAGGCGAGUGGAAUUCCUGGUGUAGCGGUGAAAUGCGUAGAUAUUGGGAGGAACACCAGUGGCGAAGGCGGCUCACUGGACCGGAACUGACGCUGAGGCGCGAAAGCGUGGGGAGCAAACGGG